RNAcentral lists this ribosomal RNA (130 nucleotides) under uncultured bacterium. RNAcentral describes it as "partial 16S ribosomal RNA". The record is from RNAcentral.
GGUUACGUCAAGACUCACGGUUAUUAACCGUAAGCUUUCUUCUCUACUGAAAGUGCUUUACAACCCGCAGGCCUUCUUCACACACGCGGCAUUGCUGGAUCAGGCUUGCGCCCAUUGUCCAAUAUUCCCC